Molecule: non-coding RNA, 682 nt
Organism: Lontra canadensis (Northern American river otter)
Lineage: Eukaryota; Metazoa; Chordata; Mammalia; Carnivora; Mustelidae
Source: the annotation of a RefSeq genome assembly
CUCUACACUCUGCACAGUAGGCAGAAGUACCUCAUCACGUAGACAAGGAAUCAUGAGGAGACACUGGGGAGCUCUCCUGGGGCUCCUGUGCAUCCAGGUUUGCUGGGUAAGAGGGAUGACGGUGGAGCAGAGCCCUUCAGCCCUGAACCUCCAGGAGGGAGCCAGCUCUACUCUCCAGUGUAAUUUUUCCCAAACUGCGAACAAUGUGCAGUGGUUCCGGCAGCACCUCGGGGGCGGCGGUCUCACCUGGCUGUUUUACAUAGCUUCAGGGAUGCAGCACAGUGGGAGGUUAAACUGCACAGUGAAUACUAAGGAUCGGUCCAGCACCCUCCACAUCAGGGCCUCCCGACUGGAAGACUCAGCCACCUACUUGUGUGCGGCGGAGGCACAGUGCUCCCUGGUGAUCUGCAGCCUGCACCCAAACUGCAGCUGGGCCUGUGGCUCCCACCUUUCCUGGGAAAGCCCUUUGCAGGUAAAAAGCUCUUCGAAGGAGCUAGUGCAUCAAGUGACAGAGAUGCUCCUAUCUAGUGCCCUGGAAAAGCAGAUCUUCUGGCAGUUCAGCCAAGGAGAGAAUGUGGAGCAGCAUCCUUCUACCCUGAGUGUCCAGGAGGAAAGCAGCUCGUUAUCAGCUGCAGUUAUUCAGACAGUAACUCAGAUUUACUUCCCCUGGUCUUCAAGAUGA